RNAcentral lists this ribosomal RNA (1518 nucleotides) under Pseudomonas sp. Its description in RNAcentral is "bacterial SSU rRNA". It matches the Rfam family "Bacterial small subunit ribosomal RNA". Lineage: Bacteria; Pseudomonadati; Pseudomonadota; Gammaproteobacteria; Pseudomonadales; Pseudomonadaceae. The record is from RNAcentral.
GGGCAGUACUACACAUGGCAAGUCGAGCGGUAGAGAGAAGCUUGCUUCUCUUGAGAGCGGCGGACGGGUGAGUAAUGCCUAGGAAUCUGCCUGGUAGUGGGGGAUAACGUUCGGAAACGAACGCUAAUACCGCAUACGUCCUACGGGAGAAAGCAGGGGACCUUCGGGCCUUGCGCUAUCAGAUGAGCCUAGGUCGGAUUAGCUAGUUGGUGGGGUAACUUGGCUCACCAAGGCGACACAGAUCCGUAACUGGUUACUGAGAGGAUGAUCAGUCACAACUGGAACUGAGACACGGUCCAGACUCCUAUCGGGAGGCAGCAGUGGGGAAUAUUGGACAAUAUUGGGGCGAAAGCCUUUGGAUCCAGCCAUGCCGCGUGUUGGUGAAGAAGGUCUUCGGAUAUUUUGUAAAGCACUUUAAGUUGGGAGGAAGGGGGCCCAUUACCUAAUACGUUGGAUGGUUUUGACGUUACCGACAAGGAAUAAGCACCGGCUAACUCUGUGCCAGCAGCCGGCCGGUAAUACAGAGGGUGCAAGCGUUAAUCGGAAUUACUGGGCGUAAAGCGCGCGUACGUGGUUUGUUAAGUUGGAUGUGAAAUCCCCGGGCUCAACCUGGGAACUGCAUUCAAAACUGAGUGACUAGAGUAUGGUAUAGGGGUGGUGGAAUUUCCUGUGUAGCGGUGAAAUGCGUAGAUAUAUGAAGGAACACCAGUGGCGAACGCGACCACCUGUGACUGAUACUGACACUCAGGUGCGAAAGCGUGGGGAGCAAACAGGAUUAGAGACCCUGGUAGUCCACGCCGUACACGAUGUCAACUAGCCGUUGGGAGGCUUGAGGUCAUAUUGGCGCAGCUAAUGCAAUAAUUUUGACCGCCCUGGGUGAGAACGGCCGUCCGGAUGGAAACUCACAUGAAAUUUAUCGGGCGCCCUGCACAAACAGACGGUGGCGACGUCGUUUAAUUCCAAUAAAUCGCAAAUAAACCUUACCAGCGCCCUUGAUAUACACAUGGAACUUGACUAGAAAAAAGAAUAGAGUGCCGUUCCUUAACGUUGAGAACAGAUACAGACACCGGCAGUUGAUCAGACUCCAGGCCCCUGUACGUCAAGAUUUAGGUCUCUUACACAGACAACAAACCAUCGUCCUUAGUUACCAGCACGUUAUGGUGGGCACUCUAAGGAGACGGCCGGUGACAAACCGGAGGAAGGUGGGGAUGACGUCAAGUCAUCAUGGCCCUUACGGCCUGGGCUACACACCUGCUACAAUGGUCGGUACAGAGGGUUGCCAAGCCGCGAGGUGGAGCUAAUCCCAUAAAACCGAUCGUAGUCCGGAUCGCAGUCUGCAACUCGAAUGCGUGAAGUUGGAAUCGGUAGUAAUCGCGAAUCAGAAUGUCGCGGUGAAUACUUCCCGGGCCUUGUACACACCGCCCGUCACCCCAUGGGAGUGGGUUGCACCAGAAGUAGCUAGUCUAACCUUCGGGGGACGGUACCACAGAGAUCCGCGCACUAGGGAUACCCGACCGC